CUCAGUUCGGACGUGCAGGCUGCAACUCGCCUGCACGAAGUUGGAAUUGCUAGUAAUCGUGGAUCAGCAUGCCACGGUGAAUACGUUCCCGGGUCUUGUACACACCGCCCGUCACACCAUGGGGAGCCGGUAAUACCCGAAGUCAGUAGUCUAACCGCAAGGAGGACGCUGCCGAAGGUAGGAUUGGCGACUGGGGUGAAGUCGUAACAAGGUAGC
This 216-nucleotide ribosomal RNA is filed under the name uncultured bacterium. RNAcentral's name for it is "partial 16S ribosomal RNA". It matches the Rfam family "Bacterial small subunit ribosomal RNA", at positions 1287 to 1500 of the family's 1533-position model. The record is from RNAcentral.